UAUGCGGGCCGGAUGGUCGCGGGAGGCCUUCGGGCCUCAUGAGGAAAGUCCGGGCUUCUUGAGGCAGGAUGCCGGCUAACGGCCGGGCGGGGAAACCCGACGGAAAGUGCUGAAGAAACUUAAACUCCCACUGGCGCAUUCGCGUUAAGAGAAAAGCUGAGAAGGUGCGGUAAGAGCGCACCAGCAUGUUGGUAACAGCAUGGCUUGGUAAACCCCAUCCGAAGCAAGGGCGAAUAGGCAUGCGAUACGGUUGAGCCUCUCCGUGCAUGCGGGUAGCCUGCUCGAGGCGCGCGGCGACGCGCGUCCUAGAUAAAUGACCGUCUUCGAAGACAGAACCCGGCUUAUAGGCCCGCUACGGC
RNAcentral lists this RNase P RNA (359 nucleotides) under Slackia faecicanis. Its description in RNAcentral is "RNase P RNA component class A". It matches the Rfam family "Bacterial RNase P class A". Rfam says of the family: Ribonuclease P (RNase P) is a ubiquitous endoribonuclease, found in archaea, bacteria and eukarya as well as chloroplasts and mitochondria. Its best characterised activity is the generation of mature 5'-ends of tRNAs by cleaving the 5'-leader elements of precursor-tRNAs. The record is from RNAcentral. Lineage: Bacteria; Bacillati; Actinomycetota; Coriobacteriia; Eggerthellales; Eggerthellaceae.